AUGAUAUAGUUCGAUUCACUGUAGAGUUGUGAAGAGUAUAUAGCUUGUAAGAUAACUACUUGAAAGAUUUGAGUUUUUUAAAUAUCUUUAAAAAUAAUCAGUUAUGAAAGCAGUAUAAUAACUGUAAUUGGAAAGUAUAUUAUCCAUACCCGCACUUAUCAAACAGUAAUUUUCAUUCUUUAGUUUUAGAUUUUUUCAAUAAAAAGAUUUCCUAUUAGUCCUUGUUUAAGUGUCAUAGAACUAUUCACACAAUGUGAAUUAUUAGCUGUUAGGUUUUAAGUGCAAUUUGAUGUAAUGCUGGUUAUUCCAGAAUAUUUUUAGUGACACAGAAAUGUGUGGUAUUAAAAUGUUUCUAUAAGUGAAUGUGGAAAUGAGGGUACAUAUGAUUGUGAAUGGAGACAGAGUUAUAGU
RNAcentral lists this long non-coding RNA (411 nucleotides) under Bos taurus (domestic cattle). RNAcentral describes it as "long non-coding RNA NONBTAT024965". Lineage: Eukaryota; Metazoa; Chordata; Mammalia; Artiodactyla; Bovidae. The record is from RNAcentral.